This 498-nucleotide ribosomal RNA is filed under the name uncultured bacterium. RNAcentral's name for it is "partial 16S ribosomal RNA". It matches the Rfam family "Bacterial small subunit ribosomal RNA", at positions 29 to 507 of the family's 1533-position model. The record is from RNAcentral.
AGCGAACGCUGGCGGCGUGCCUAACACAUGCAAGUCGAACGUGAAAAGGGAAACCUGAGUACAGUGGCGUACGGGUGAGUAACGCGUAGGUAAUCUACCCCAGAAUCUGGAAUAACCUGCCGAAAGGCGGGCUAAUACUGGAUAGAGCGAGGGAACUCGUAAGAGAGUUUUUCGGGAAAGGGAGCCCGCAAUUGCCUUCGUUCUGGGAUGAGCCUGCGUCUCAUUAGCUAGUUGGUAAGGUAACGGCUUACCAAGGCGAUGAUGAGUAGCUGGUCUGAGAGGAUGAUCAGCCAAACUGGAACUGAAACACGGGCCAGAAUCCCACGGGAGGCAGCAGGGGGGGAUCUUGCGGAAUGGACGAAAGUCUGAAGCAGCCACGCCGCGGGAGUGAAGAAGGCCUUCGGGUUGUAAAGCUCUGUCGGAUGGGACGAACAUCUUCAUAGUGAAUAGCUAUGAGGACUGACGGUACCAACAAAGGAAGCACCGGCUAACUCCGUG